UGGGGGCCAUCUUUGAUACGAUGGGUAAUCACCACAUGCCAUAUCUGUUAACCCUUUUUUUUCUUUUUGUUUUUGAAUUUUAUGUCUUGAGGAUUGAUUCUAUCUUAUUUUCUUUUUAUUUUUUUGAAGAGUUCUGAUUCUGUUAUUUAAUUCUAUAGGAGACCCUUGUUAUUUUUAAUUUUUUUAAGAGAAUGCAUAAAAUGAUGCCCCAUGAUCCUAGUUGGUUGGGUUCGUAAGUAAUGAUGGUGAUGUAUGAUGGUGUUGGGGUUUCUGAUCUUGUUGGUUGUUUAGCUCUUUAUUAGUUUGAGGUGAUUUAGGGUUUGCAAGAAUGGUUUAUCUUCUGUUUGAUGGCCACAUGCCAUUAUUGCUCCACCUGGAAAAAAUUUUGAUCUUUUUGUGUAAAAUAUAAGGGAAUGGAAGAAUAAUGAGAGAACUGAGGUCAUUAUGAACCAGAAUGUCCAAGAUCUGUUUAAAUUGUCUAAAUUCAUCUGAGUAUGGUAAAAAAAGGGCUUGCCAUGCAACUAAUUUUCUGCCUUUAUAUUUGUUAUUUAUGCAAUAUUUUACCAAACUCUAUUUGGUGGUCGUCUGAUUUUUUUAAUAAUGUUUUUAUUCAGCUGUUCAAUUGUAUCAA
RNAcentral lists this unclassified non-coding RNA (631 nucleotides) under Hevea brasiliensis (rubber tree). The record is from RNAcentral. Lineage: Eukaryota; Viridiplantae; Streptophyta; Magnoliopsida; Malpighiales; Euphorbiaceae.